UACGUAGGUGGCAAGCGUUGUCCGGAAUUAUUGGGCGUAAAGCGCGCGCAGGCGGUCCUUUAAGUCUGAUGUGAAAUCUUACGGCUCAACCGUAAGCGGUCAUUGGAAACUGGGGGACUUGAGUGCAGAAGAGGAGAAUGGAAUUCCUGGUGUAGCGGUGAAAUGCGCAGAUAUCAGGAAGAACACCCGUGGCGAAGGCGGUUCUCUGGGACGGUACUGACGCUGAGACGCGAAAGCGUGGGGAGCGAACAGG
Molecule: ribosomal RNA, 253 nt
Filed under: uncultured bacterium
Lineage: Bacteria
Description: partial 16S ribosomal RNA
Rfam family: Bacterial small subunit ribosomal RNA
Source: RNAcentral